This 160-nucleotide ribosomal RNA is filed under the name Lophophytum leandri. RNAcentral's name for it is "Lophophytum leandrii 5.8S ribosomal RNA". It matches the Rfam family "5.8S ribosomal RNA". Rfam says of the family: 5.8S ribosomal RNA (5.8S rRNA) is a component of the large subunit of the eukaryotic ribosome. It is transcribed by RNA polymerase I as part of the 45S precursor that also contains 18S and 28S rRNA. The record is from RNAcentral. Lineage: Eukaryota; Viridiplantae; Streptophyta; Magnoliopsida; Santalales; Balanophoraceae.
UACGAUGACUCCUGGCAACGGUAAUGUUGGCCUUUGCAUCGAUGAAGAACGCAGCAAAAUGUGAUACUUGGUGCGAAUUGCAGAAUCCCGUGAAUCAUCGAGUUUUUGAACGCAAGUUGCGCCUAAGGCCUCCAGGCCAAAGGCACGUCUGCUUGGGUGU